UAGUUUAUAAUAAAACAUAUAAUUUUGAUUUAUAAAAAAAAUAUAAUAUAUUUCUAAAUAA
Molecule: transfer RNA, 61 nt
Filed under: Didemnum vexillum
Lineage: Eukaryota; Metazoa; Chordata; Ascidiacea; Aplousobranchia; Didemnidae
Description: tRNA-Gln
Source: RNAcentral